Periconia digitata is the source of this 89-nucleotide non-coding RNA. Lineage: Eukaryota; Fungi; Ascomycota; Dothideomycetes; Pleosporales; Periconiaceae. The record is from the annotation of a GenBank genome assembly.
GGCUUCAUGGUCUAGUGGUAUGAUUCCUGCUUUGGGACAGCAUCGUUCUAAGUUGCAGGAGGCCCCGCGUUCGAAUCGCGGUGGAGCCC